This 360-nucleotide transfer-messenger RNA is filed under the name bacterium. RNAcentral describes it as "CAIYCZ01 sp903924805 X1 Standard tmRNA". It matches the Rfam family "transfer-messenger RNA". Rfam says of the family: Bacterial tmRNA, also known as 10Sa RNA or SsrA, is named for its dual tRNA and mRNA-like properties. Its role is to liberate the mRNA from a stalled ribosome. The record is from RNAcentral. RNAcentral also lists the same sequence under 1 other name.
GGGGGCGAAAAGGGUUCGACGGGGGUUGUUGAAGCUUUAACUGCAUACCGAGGUUCCUAUCGCGGCUCGUAAAAAAGGUAGGAUUAAACAUAAUCGCAGACGAUUAUAAUUACGCUCUGGCUGCCUAAUCGCAGCCAGCGUUCCGCGUGUUUUCUCCUGCCGGACACAAAGGGGCGUCACUUCAGACAGGAUAGCUCUUUUUCCUCUCUCAAGGGAAUCUGAGCGAAACGUUUUGAGAUAGCCUUUAAAGAAUCCUGCUUCUGGGAGACUUAAAAGGCGAACCCUAAAACAGAAGCUACGUAUGUAGAUGUUAAAGUGGAAAGCUCUCGGACGGGGGUUCGAUUCCCCCCGCCUCCACCA